This 1345-nucleotide ribosomal RNA is filed under the name uncultured bacterium. RNAcentral describes it as "partial 16S ribosomal RNA". It matches the Rfam family "Bacterial small subunit ribosomal RNA", at positions 28 to 1381 of the family's 1533-position model. The record is from RNAcentral.
GACGAACGCUGGCGGCGUGCUUAACACAUGCAAGUCGAACGGAAAGGCCCUGCUUUUGUGGGGUGCUCGAGUGGCGAACGGGUGAGUAACACGUGAGUAACCUGCCCUUGACUUUGGGAUAACUUCAGGAAACUGGGGCUAAUACCGGAUAGGAGCUCCUGCUGCAUGGUGGGGGUUGGAAAGUUUCGGCGGUUGGGGAUGGACUCGCGGCUUAUCAGCUUGUUGGUGGGGUAGUGGCUUACCAAGGCUUUGACGGGUAGCCGGCCUGAGAGGGUGACCGGCCACAUUGGGACUGAGAUACGGCCCAGACUCCUACGGGAGGCAGCAGUGGGGAAUAUUGCACAAUGGGCGGAAGCCUGAUGCAGCAACGCCGCGUGCGGGAUGACGGCCUUCGGGUUGUAAACCGCUUUCGCCUGUGACGAAGCGUGAGUGACGGUAAUGGGUAAAGAAGCACCGGCUAACUACGUGCCAGCAGCCGCGGUGAUACGUAGGGUGCGAGCGUUGUCCGGAUUUAUUGGGCGUAAAGGGCUCGUAGGUGGUUGAUCGCGUCGGAAGUGUAAUCUUGGGGCUUAACCCUGAGCGUGCUUUCGAUACGGGUUGACUUGAGGAAGGUAGGGGAGAAUGGAAUUCCUGGUGGAGCGGUGGAAUGCGCAGAUAUCAGGAGGAACACCAGUGGCGAAGGCGGUUCUCUGGGCCUUUCCUGACGCUGAGGAGCGAAAGCGUGGGGAGCGAACAGGCUUAGAUACCCUGGUAGUCCACGCUGUAAACGGUGGGUACUAGGUGUGGGGUCCAUUCCACGGGUUCCGUGCCGUAGCUAACGCUUUAAGUACCCCGCCUGGGGAGUACGGCCGCAAGGCUAAACUCAAAGGAAUUGACGGGGCCCCGCACAAGCGGCGGAGCAUGCGGAUUAAUUCGAUGCAACGCGUAGAACCUUACCUGGGUUUGACAUGGAUCGGGAGUGCUCAGAGAUGGGUGUGCCUCUUUUGGGGUCGGUUCACAGGUGGUGCAUGGCUGUCGUCAGCUCGUGUCGUGAGAUGUUGGGUUAAGUCCCGCAACGAGCGCAACCCUUGUUCACUGUUGCCAGCACGUUAUGGUGGGGACUCAGUGGAGACCGCCGGGGUCAACUCGGAGGAAGGUGGGGAUGACGUCAAGUCAUCAUGCCCCUUAUGUCCAGGGCUUCACGCAUGCUACAAUGGCUGGUACAGAGAGUGGCGAGCCUGUGAGGGUGAGCGAAUCUCGGAAAGCCGGUCUCAGUUCGGAUUGGGGUCUGCAACUCGACCUCAUGAAGUCGGAGUCGCUAGUAAUCGCAGAUCAGCAACGCUGCGGUGAAUACGUUCCCGGGGCU